This 518-nucleotide ribosomal RNA is filed under the name uncultured archaeon. RNAcentral's name for it is "bacterial SSU rRNA". It matches the Rfam family "Archaeal small subunit ribosomal RNA", at positions 327 to 847 of the family's 1478-position model. The record is from RNAcentral.
GGGGUGCAGCAGGCGCGAACACUUUACAAUGCGGGAAACCGCGAUAAGGGAACCCCGAGUGCCAGCAUCAAAUGUUGGCUGUCCAGAUGAUUAAAAAUCAUUUGUUAGCAAGGGCCGGGCAAGACCGGUGCCAGCCGCCGCGGUAACACCGGCGGCCCGAGUGGUAGCCGUUUUUAUUGGGUCUAANGGGUCCGUAGCCGGCCUGAUAAGUCCUUUGGGAAAUCUGGCAGCUUAACUGUCAGGCUUCUAAGGGAUACUGUCAGGCUUGGGACCGGAAGAGGUAAGGGGUACUCCAGGGGUAGGAGUGAAAUCUUGUAAUCCCUGGGGGACCAUCUGUGGCGAAGGCGCCUUACCAGAACGGGUCCGACGGUGAGGGACGAAAGCUAGGGGAGCAAACCGGAUUAGAUACCCGGGUAGUCCUAGCUGUAAACGAUGCUCGCUAGGUGUCAGACACGGUGCGACCGUGUUUGGUGCCGCAGGGAAGCCGUUAAGCGAGCCACCUGGAAGUACGUCGCAAG